This 87-nucleotide transfer RNA is filed under the name Solirubrobacterales bacterium. RNAcentral's name for it is "tRNA-Ser". It matches the Rfam family "tRNA". Rfam says of the family: Transfer RNA (tRNA) molecules are approximately 80 nucleotides in length. Their secondary structure includes four short double-helical elements and three loops (D, anti-codon, and T loops). Lineage: Bacteria; Bacillati; Actinomycetota; Thermoleophilia; Solirubrobacterales. The record is from RNAcentral. RNAcentral also lists the same sequence under 3 other names.
GGAGAGGUGCCAGAGCGGCUGAAUGGGCACGACUGGAAAUCGUGUGUGCGUUUGCGCGUACCGAGGGUUCGAAUCCCUCUCUCUCCG